Podarcis lilfordi (Lilford's wall lizard) is the source of this 8684-nucleotide non-coding RNA. The record is from the annotation of a GenBank genome assembly. NCBI's taxonomy places the organism in Eukaryota, Metazoa, Chordata, Lepidosauria, Squamata, Lacertidae.
UUGAGUCACUGUAGUCCCCACAUGUGUGCAUUAGGUUUUUUUUUUUUUAUAAUGAUAUUUAUUAAAAUUUCAAAAAAUACAUGAAAAUACAAAAUAGAAAAAAAAGUAUAAAGUUUUAAGAUAUAACAAAAAAAGUAGAAAAUAAGGAAAAACAUACAAAAUAAAACAGUUAAAAGCACAAUAAUUUUCCAUAACCUAUCUUCCUUGCUCUUAUUUCCCGGACCUCCUCAUACCUCCCUUCUUUGUAUUCCAGUUCAGUUUGUUGGUUCAGCAAAUCCUUACCAGUAAUCUUUUACCCAAUUGUUAACCUUUUUUUUUCAUAUCUCUUAAAAGCAUUACAGCUAAAAACCUCUUAGUUUCUAUCCGACAUCCUUCUAAAAUUCCUUAAUUUUGCAAUAUUUCUGUAAAUAGUCUUUAAAUUUCUUCCAGUCUUCUUUCACCGACUCUUCUCCCUGGUCUCGGAUUCUGCCAGUCAUUUCCGCCAAUUCCAUGUAGUCAAUCACCUUCAUCUGCCAUUCUUCCAAAGUGGGUAGAUCUUGUGUCUUCCAAUACUUUGCGAUAAGUAUUCUUGCUGCUGUUGUAGCAUACAUGAAAAAGGUUCUGUCCUUCUUUGGCACCAGUUGGCCGACAAUGCCCAAAAGAAAGGCCUCUGGUUUCUUCAGAAAGGUAUAUUUAAAUACCUUUUUCAGUUCAUUAUAUAUCAUUUCCCAGAAAGCCUUGAUCUUUGGGCACGUCCACCAAAGGUGAAAGAAUGUACCUUCAGUUUCUUUACAUUUCCAACAUUUAUUAUCGGGCAAAUGAUAAAUUUUUGCAAGCUUGACUGGGGUCAUGUACCACCUGUAUAUCAUUUUCAUAAUAUUCUCUCUUAAGGCAUUACAUGCCGUAAACCUCAUACCUGUGGUCCAUAACUGUUCCCAGUCAGCGAACAUAAUAUUAUGUCCAACAUCUUGUGCCCAUUUAAUCAUAGCAGAUUUCACCGUUUCAUCCUGAGUAUUCCAUUUCAACAGCAAGUUAUACAUUCUUGACAAAUUUUUAGUUUUGGGUUCUAACAAUUCUGUUUCUAAUUUUGACUUUUCCACUUGGAAGCCUAUUUUCUUAUCCAAAUUAUAUGCCUCCAUUAUCUGAUAGUAAUGAAGCCAAUCUCUCACUUUAUUUUUUAAUUUUUCAAAACUCUGCAAUCUCAAUUUAUCUCCUUCUUGCUCCAAAAUUUCCCAAUAUGUCGGCCAUUUGGCCUCCAUAUUGAGCCUUUUCAGAGCUUUUGCUUCCAUUGGUGACAGCCACCUUGGGGUCUUAUUUUCCAAUAAAUCUUUGUAUCUUAUCCAAACAUUAAACAAUGCUUUCCUAACAAUAUGAUUUUUGAAUGCUUUGUGUGCUUUGACCUUAUCAUACCAUAAGUAUGCAUGCCAUCCAAAUACAUUGUUAAAACCUUCUAAAUCCAAAAUGUCUGUGUUUUCAAGAAGUAGCCAUUCUUUCAGCCAGCAAAAAGCUGCUGAUUCAUAAUAAAGUUUAAGGUCUGGCAGGGCAAAUCCACCUCUUUCCUUGGCAUCAGUUAAUAUCUUAAAUUUUAUUCUGGGCUUCUUGCCCUGCCAGACAAAUCUAGAAAUAUCUCUCUGCCACUUCUUGAAACAGUCCAUCUUAUCUACAAUUUGUAAUGUCUGAAACAAAAACAACAUUCUAGGCAAUACAUUCAUCUUUAUCACAGCAAUACGGCCCAGCAGCGAGAGUUUCAAAUUUGACCAAAUUUCUAAAUCUUUUUUCACUUCCGUCCAACAUUUUUCGUAAUUAUCUUUAAAUAAGUUCCCAUUUUUGGCUGUCAUAUUAAUCCCCAAGUAUUUCACUUUCUUUACCACAUUCAAUCCUGUCUCAUUCUGAAACCUCUCUCUUUCAAUCAGUGUUAAAUUUUUCUCUAAAACCUUAGUUUUUAACUUGUUCAAUUUAAAACCUGCCACCUGACCAAAUUCCUGAAUUAAUUCUAAAACUCUUUUAGUACUAGAUUCUGGCUCCUGUAGCGUCAAUACUAGAUCAUCUGCAAAUGCUCUCAGUUUGUACUGUUUAGCUCCGACCUGUAUGCCCUUAACCAACCGGUCCUUUCUAAUCAUGUUUAGCAAAACCUCCAGGACCGAUAUAAAAAGCAGUGGGGAAAUUGGGCACCCCUGUCGUGUCCCUUUUUCUAUCUUAAAUUCUUCCGUGACCACAUUAUUUACAAUUAAUUUAGCCUUUUGUUCAGAGUAUAUUGCACCUAUACCAUUUUCAAAGCCUUGGCCUACCCCCAUCCCAUGCAAGUUCUUCUUCAUAAAACUCCAAGAGAUAUUAUCAAAAGCUUUCUCCGCGUCGACAAAUAUCAAUACUGCUUUAGUGUUUAUAUUCACUUCUAGUUUUUCCAAAAUAUCAAUUAUAUUCCUCAAAUUAUCGGACAAGUGUCUUCCCGGGAGAAAGCCCGCUUGGUCUUUAUGAAUCUCUUUCAUCAAUACUUUUUUCAAUCUCUUGGCCAAAAUGUCUGCAAAAAUUUUGUAAUCCACAUUAAGUAACGAUAUAGGGCGGUAGUUCUUAAGCUGAGUCUUUUCAGUCUCUGUUUUCGGUAUAAGUGUGAUAUACGCCUCUUUCCACGAUUCUGGUGCCCUUUUCCUCCAAUAUUUCAUUGCAGACUUCCUUCAAAGGUUGCAAUAACCACUCUUUCAGAGAUCUAUAGUAUCUGGAAGUCAGCCCAUCCGGUCCUGGAGAUUUGCCCAGUUGCAUAUUUUGUAUGGCACCUUCUACUUCCUGUUCAGAUAUUUUAUAGUUCAGCAUUAAUUUACUUUCUUGAGAGAUUUUUGUAGGCCAUUUGUCUUCAAAAAUUGGUCUAUGUCCAUUUCCUUCUGUGGCCCUUGUGUGUAUAAUUGUUUAAAGUACCUCUGGAAGCAAUUUCUGAUCUCAUUUGGAUUAUGUAUACUCUUUCCUUCCACUUCUAGGUUUAUAAUGGUAUUUAAUUUUUGUCUUUUUUCAUUUGCCAGGCCAACAGUUUUCCACAUUUAUUAGCUGAUUCAAAUGUUUUUUGUCUCAUUUGUUUGAUUUUCCAUUCUAUUUCCUGAUUCAUCAUUUCCAUAUAUUGUACUUGAUAUAAUUUUAUUUCUCUCAAAAUCUCCUGGGACUUUGGUUUUGCUCUCAAUUUCUUCUCACCUUCUUUUAUUUUUUCCAAGAUUUUGUCUUUCUUUUCAUUUUGACUUCUCUUCUUUAUUGCAUUCUGUUGUAUCAAAAACCCUCUCAUCACAGCUUUGCUUGCGUCCCAGAUUACUCUUUUUUCUACAUUAGUGUUCAUGUUUAUUUCAAAAUAAUCUCUCAAAGUUUUUUGGGCCUUUUUGUAAACUUCUUCAUCUCUAAAUAAGGUGUCAUUCAUCCUCCAUCUAAAGGAUCCGGUUGUUGUUUGUUUCAUCUCCAUCCUUACAGCAUUGUGGUCGGAACAAGUUUUUGGGCAGAUUUCUACUUUCUUUAUCUUUGGUGCCAUUCCUCUAGUUAUCCAUAUUUGGUCAAUUCUAGUCCAUGUCAUCUUGGCUUCAGAAAAGAAGGUUCCUUCUCUUACAAGGGGUUCUUUACCCUCCAGAUGUCCACUAAGUCCAUAUUGUCUAUCAUCUCAAAAAAUGUUUUCGGUAGUCUACCAUCCUUGGUGACUACCUGUCUUUGUGCCUUGUCCAUAUUUGUAGAUACUACUCCAUUCAUGUCCCCCAUCAAAAUCAAAUUGUAAUCCAAAUGAUCCAGUAAAGUCUCAUGCAACUUUUUAUAGAAUUCAGAUUUCCCCUCGUUCGGUGCAUAAAUUCCCACAAUUAAAAAUUUCUCUCCUUGUAGUUGAAUUUCAAUUGCCAAAAAUCUUCCUUGGUCAUCUUUAAAAAUAAGUUUCGGUAAAAGUCUCUCCUUUGCAUAAAUCACAACUCCUCUUUUUUUGACUUUGUCAGAUGAAACAAACUCCUGUCCUAAUCUCUUAUUAAUCAAUAACUUCCUAUGUGCCCUUGUUAUAUGUGUCUCUUGUAGGCAAAUCAAGUCCAAUUGUUCUUUUUUUAAUAGAUGAAACACACUUUUUCUUUUCCGAGGAGAAUUCAAACCGUUACAAUUCCAGCUUAAUAGUUGCAGAGCCAUGAUGGGGGCUACUUCACUUUACCUCCAACUGCCCCGAGUGCCGAUUCUUGUUCUGUGGGUAGUAUCACUUUUCUGGACCGUGCAGUCCAAAGGAUAAAUUUGAUAUGUCUAGUAUGCCUUUUGGUUCUUCUUCAGAUUCCCCUUCUUUCAGUAGGUCUUCCUCGUGGUCUUUCAAGAAUCUGUCUUUUUCCUCAAUUGAUUUUAUUUUUAUCUUUCUUCCUUUAUAUUUAAAGGACAGGCCUUGAAGAAAUUCCCACCUGAAAAGAAUUCUAUUUCUUUUCAACAAAGUCACUAGGUCUCCGUAAUUAGACCUUAAGUCCAACAGAUGCUUUGGGAUGUCCUUAAAAAUCACUAAACUUGAAUCAUCAAUUUCCAAAGUUUUUUGAUAGUGCAGAUUCAGAAUUUUAUCUCUCUCUUCUUUUGUUCGAAAGGUAAUCAAACAGUCUCUCACCUUGCCCUUACCUUGUCUUCUUCCGAGCCUAAAUGCGUUCACUAUCUUAAAUUCUUGAUUCCCGGGGUCCAAUUGCCAAAAAUCUGUAAAUUCCUGUGUAAGAAAAUCAGCCAGAUUAUCUUUCUCCCGGUCUGGAACAGCCCUGAUUCUCAGAUUUCUUUGUCUAUCUUUUAAUUCGAUCAUAGAAAAUGUCACAUCGUGGUCCUCCAAUUUCUUGUAUACAGGUGGAAUUUUCUCUUGAGUAGCAAUUGCAAUAUCUUUUGCUUCCUCUGCAGUCUGUCGAAUCGAGGCAGAUUCCUGUAGUAAUUUUUCAAUAGUCUCUGUAUUGGCAUUCACCUUCUGUCCCAAGGUAUUAAUACUUGCAGUAUUUAAAUCAAUUUUAUUUGAUGCUUCCACAACUUGUCUAUUUGUCUCGACUACUUGUCUAUUUGUUUCAGCUACUUGUCUGUUUGUCUCAGUUACCUGUUUACUUAGGCUUUCCAAAGAUUCAUUAAUUUUUGCCAGUGCCUGUGCCAAAACUUCUUCUGACGACAUAACUUUUGGUUUAGACUGUGGGAGUGGGACCCCUGAUGCUCCAGAUGCUCCAGAUGUUGAGCCCCUUCGCGGCAACGCAGUGUCUAUCCGAUAAUGUCUGCCAGACCAAGUAGAUUUUUCCUGAGGUUCUAACUUCCCCUUAUCAUCUGCCAUAACAGUCUCAUAGAAAUUCAAGGUCACUCCCACAGUCAGUCAGUUGUUUUGAAAUAGAAUGGAAUUUUCCUCUUUGUAACUGUUGUUGUAACAAUAUCCAACCUCCUCUAGGGGGACACAGUAACAGUCAGAACUUGUAACUUUUAGAAACAAAAAUAGUCUUUAUAAGUCCCCCAAUUUACUUUAAAAGUCCACAGUCUCAAUGCACUUAAACAGUUACUUUCAAGCCAAAAGAGGUUCAGAAACACUGUAUCCCUUUUGCAGAGUUGGCUGUCAGAAAUAGACUUUCCACUAUGCACCUUUAUCUUAAGGCAGUCCGUUCCAAAUCUUAAACUGUAAAUUUUUCCUUCCUCUCCCCUUCUUUACUGCAGGGAAAUUCAGCUCAGUCUUUUUCCCCCUCCUCUCCUGCAAUCCGGAGGGGGAACCACUUUCAAGAUGUUAGAAUUUAGCUCUUUUUCAAGUAACUUUCUGAGUUUCCGCUUUAAAGUCUCUUUGCUUUGAUCUAUUUACAAUUCAGGGAAGGCAGACUUCCUGGUUGUACCUUCCCAGCUCCGUACCAAAUUAACUUUUUUUUUCCCUUUAAGUCCAAUUUAAUCCUACUCACGGGUAGUUGUUUUCAGAGUCCGAUUAUCCCAGGAAAAAGGCAGCGCUCUCCGGUAACAGCUUCGCGGCUUCGCUCCACGGAAGAAGCAAUUUGCUCACAGCACCACGCCACCCCCGCUCCGCUCCAGAGCCCGUUGCCGAGCUCCUUUAGCAAUUGGGGGGGGCGCAAACGGUGCCCGCUGAGUCCCACGGUCACAGGCUUCACCCGCCUGUGAUUUAUUUGGGGGUCCCCGCUGCGCCGUAGCGACAGGACCCAAAUUCCGUAAAGCCAGUUCUCUCCGAGUUAGAGAGAAGCAGCCAUUACCGAUGGCGCCACCUCCGGAAGUCCGCCACCUCCGGAAGUCUGUGCAUUAGGUUUUGUAAAACGGUUUGAACCAGCUUUUUUGUGUUGAUACUGAUUUCCAAUUCCCCGUUUUGAUCUGGGCUAUGUCUUCUUGUUUCCAGCUCUUUAUUUGGUUAAUAACCCUUAAACACCCACCCACCCACCCAUGGAAGUAUGCUGUCUCUCUGUUUGGUGCUGUGAACAAUAUUUCGGUGACUUACGCUGAUAUCAAAGUGCAGCAACUGUCAAAAUUUGAGGCAUGGUGCUGUUUACCGUUGCAGGCCUGUUUAGCAUUUGCCGCUUGGCAGGGCCAGCUCAAAACAUCUUGCCAACAGAGGCAAAAUGCCUCACCCCCACAGAUCCGGGUCCCCGCCUCAGCCCCAUCACUACAACUGCACCCUCACCUGUGGCUGCACCCGUGCUGCAAGAGUGCCGUGGUGAGGGUGCAGUGGCAGGGGUGAGGGCAACAGGGCUGCGUUGGCAGUGCGGGUGAAGCCCCUCAGGGCUGGGACCAGCACAUAGGUGGGGAUGGGGUGGAGGACAGAUCCAUCACCCACCGAGACCACAUAACACCAGUCUUGAAAGACCUAUAUUGGCUCCCGGUACGUUUCCAAGCACAAUUCAAAGUGUUGGUGCUGACCUUUAAAGCCCUAAAUGGCCUCGGCCCAGUAUAGCUGAAGGAGCGUCUCUACCCCCAUCGUUCUGCCCGGACGCUGAGGUCCAGCGCCGAGGGCCUUCUGGCAGUUCCCUCGCUGCGAGAAGCCAAGUUACAGGGAACCAGGCAGAGGGACUUCUCGGUAGUGGCGCCUGCCCUGUGGAAUGCUCUCCCUUCAGAUGUCAAAGAGAAAAACAACUACCUGACAUUCAGAAGACAUCUUAAGGCAGCCCUCUUCAGGGAAGUUUUUAAUGUAUGACAUAUUAGUGUAUUUUUGGUCUUUGUGGAAGCUGCCCAGAGUGGCUGGGGAAACCCAGCCAAAUGGUCAGGGUACAAAUAAUAAAUUAUUAUUAUUAUUAUUAUUAUUAUUAUUAUUAUUAUUAUCACCUGAAACAAAUGGCUUCACCUCGCCCCAUGCAUGGGGCCACCCCUGCUGCUUGGUAACAGCUUCUGAAAGGAGACAGAGAGAUUAUUGUACUUUUGAUUUUUUUAAAAAAAUACUUAUUAUCAGUGCUUUUUUUCUGGGGGAAUGCAGAAAUACGCAUACCCCUAAACAUUUUGUGAAUCUUUGUACUUUUGUCCGUUUACUGUAUUUAUUUUCCCUGAUUUGAACUAUAAAAUGGUGGUUAAAUAUAAGCACUGCUUAUUAUUAAACGUUUUCUUAGUUUACAAAAGUACCUGUUUUGCCUCUUUUAAUGUUUUUAGACAAGACUUGGACCAGGUAAAUUCAUUUUAAACUAUGUCAGUGAAGCAACGUAUUCCGAUUAGCUGUCAGUUGGGAGUAGACUGAAAGGUGAGGAGAAAUAAUGCCAGUUGGUAAAGUCAGUGAGGGAGGGAGGUGUGAGGAAAACACUUCCAAAAUCUGAGGUAAAAAUGGGUAUCUGAGGCCUGAAUAUCAAGCUGUUCUUCCCGAUUAUGUUAAUACUGUAAUGGUUUGCUGGUGAAUAUCAGAAGAAGGGAGCUGGUGUCUGUGUUAGGCCAAGAUGCAGCCCAGAUAAAGAUUUUGACAGAAAAAAGUGGAAGAAGUGUGUCACUUCUGCUCAUCCUGUAUAUUUGUAAAUAAAUGCAACUAUUACAAAAACGCUGUAAGCCUGAAGGCACCUUCUUCCAAAGGAAGCUGAAAUUAGGGAAGCACUGAACCUUUGGAUCUUCUCAGUGCUUGGGGGAAUACAGUGCAAAAAAGAGAAAUAUCUCACAGAUUCCAAGAACCACAGGUUAUUUUUUUUUUGGCAGUAUGCUUAAUUUGCAAAGGACUCUUCCUUUUUCCUGGCAUCUCUGAGGUAUUUUUUUGCACCUUAUUCUUGGAUGCUUCCUGGUUUUGUGGUUUUGGGAGGAAUAGGACAAUUGCAACAAUAUAUUCUGUUUUGAAAGCAAAUAGCUUCAAAAUCUUUCUGUCCUUAAAAAUGCUGAUAGAAAUCCCAUUGCCACAUAUUUUUGUCUAAAGAAAGCAGGGACUCCCUAAUGUUUGCAUAGGAGGAAUUUGGGCAGGUGUGUUUACUUACAUCCCUGCAUGAUAAUAUGUUUCUCCCAAAUUCCCUCCUCUGCACAAUGAGUAAAUAUACAAGUGUCCUGGUCUCUUUUGCAGCUUGCCUUCAUUAUCUUAUCAUAUCAAUCUUCUUCUCCCCAUUCCUUGGCCUCCAUAAUUUGAAUUUGUGCCUUAACAUUAUGUCCAUUCAUUUUAAUGACUUUAUUUGUUUUGUGGGGGCAGCUUUGCAGCUGGAACCUGAAAAGGAAAAAAUUGUGCUGAACAAUGGUGGAUGCAGUGCCUCAACAGACAAGUUUCAGGCUUUCCUAAGACUCAACUUCUGCAAUCAAAAUCAGAAUAGGUCCUCAGGUAGAAUUGAUAUAUUGUACUGCUG